AAACUAUGUGUAUUUUUGUUUUGAAAACAAAAAUAAAGAAUAAUUCUUAUAGUUUU
RNAcentral lists this transfer RNA (56 nucleotides) under Macropostrongyloides baylisi. RNAcentral describes it as "tRNA-Ser". Lineage: Eukaryota; Metazoa; Nematoda; Chromadorea; Rhabditida; Strongylidae. The record is from RNAcentral.